CUAGUAAGCGCACGUGCGAAAACUGAGUAGAGCUCACUCAGCCUGUUCGCCUCACAAUCGAGUGUGCUGUUUCCCCCUUUCAAUUUCCAUUUUACGCCGGGCAGUCAGAGCAAGCGGAGGUCGAGGAGAUCAGAGGGACAAGAAAAUGUGCCUGCUCCCUGUCACGAUGUCAACGUUUCAUUCAUUCAUUCUGUUUUCCAGUAGCAGCAAACAAACAGUAGCAGCAGCAGUAGCAGCAGUAGCAGCAGUAGCAGCGUACUUGGGAUCAUUUCAUUUGAUCCCUUCUGAUCGCCGUUUGAUCUCAAGGACGGCGGUCGUUCUUCUAGCAACAGAUUUCACACCUAUGUGCCAUGUCUCGGAGGUCCGCGAUCUGAGCUGAGCGCACCCUUUGUUGGGAAAUGAAAAUUAAGGUAAUGUUUCUUGACAUUUUUAUGCUUAUUAUCAUCAUUGUUAAUUUUUUUAUGCGUUUGUUGACGCACUUUGCAGUACAGUUUCCUUUGUCCCUCCCCCCAACACCUCGCCCGUGUCCAUUUAGAGUCAUGCCUUGGGUGUAGGUGUUGGUGGCGUGAUGAAAGAAACUAGCCUUUCCGUGCCGGCAGCACACGACGCGGCGCACAGAAAAUCACACCUCUGUCCGUUACGCAACUGUCCUGAUCAGCCCUCCCGCUCCUGCCCUGCGGCGGGGUCAUUUAAUUUUGAUUUUUUUCCCCACCCCUAAGAAUAAAUACUUUCUGCUUUGAGGAUUAGCGGCGUUGCCUUAGGCUCUCUUUCAAAAUAAAUAGUAAUGGAUUGAAGAGAAGAAGGCCCUAGAUGUAGCCUUGGCCCCAGCCCCAGGAGUAAUGGUUUGUUUUGUUUGGGGUUUUUGGUUUUGUUUGUUAGUGGGUUUGUUUGU
RNAcentral lists this long non-coding RNA (892 nucleotides) under Aplysia californica (California sea hare). RNAcentral's name for it is "uncharacterized LOC118479114". The record is from RNAcentral. Lineage: Eukaryota; Metazoa; Mollusca; Gastropoda; Aplysiida; Aplysiidae.